This is an RNA transcript of Apis laboriosa (Himalayan honeybee), 1216 nucleotides long. It is a transcript of the gene named 39S ribosomal protein L40, mitochondrial, with no coding region annotated. The record is from RefSeq and is a predicted model, not a curated record. The transcript has 8 exons. Lineage: Eukaryota; Metazoa; Arthropoda; Insecta; Hymenoptera; Apidae.
GGUACGCUUGAACAGAGUUACCAUCAUCUUUGACAUAGAUUAUUUAUCGGUAUUAUUUCUUUUAAUUUAUAUCAAAAAACAAAAGGUUUUUAAGAGGUUAUGUACGUGAAUUUCAAAAAAUAAAAAUAGUAUAGUAAAGUAUUAAUUAAUUAAUAGUAUAAUAAAGUAAUUAAAAAAACUUAAACAAUUACAGUGAAUAAUAAAAAUGUUUGGAAUAUUAAAUCUAGCAAAUAUUAUUUUUAGGUCUUCAUUAUGUUCAAUUAAAAAUUCAUGCAAUAUCUCCACAUACACACAUCCUUUAUAUUUUCGAGCAACAGAGAUACUUUUAGGAGAACCCUUAAAAAAGAAAAAAAGAAUUGAUCCUGCAGUAAUUAGAGCUAAAGAAGAAAGAAAGAAAAGGAAGCUACAAAAAAGAAUUCGCAUGUUAGAAAAACAUGCAAAUCAUAUGAAACCAAUUUUUGAAAUCGAUACAUUGGCCGAACAAUUGCAAAAUGACAAAAGAUCUUGUCAUUUGACAUCAUUAUCAGAGGAAGAAAUAGAAAGGAGAAGAUUAUUAGAAAGAGAAUGGAUUAAAUAUAAGCAAUAUCAAUGGUUAAAAGAUUUAUAUGUUAUAAAAUCUAUGCUGGCCUCACAGAAAACAGCAUUGGAAGAAUUAAAAGCUGUCUCAAAACAGCUUUAUAAAAAAGCAAUCGAAUUUGAUGAUUUAUAUUUACCGUAUGAUGUAAUUGGACCAGUACAUACUCCACCAAUAAAAAAUUACGAUAGUCCCGAUGGUGAAUAUAUAGAAACUACCAUUAAAUAUGUAGGAGAAUAAGUACACAAAGCAAUGGAAUGGAUCAAUAAAAGAAUUAAUUUAAAUAAAGGAUCAUAGGAGUGAAAAAAAGAGAUGCUAUUCGUACGAGUAAGAUUAAAAUAAGAAAAGCCGAUGCGCUAAUAGUGAAUGAUUUUAAUAUUACCGGAGCAUAAAGCUCUUCAAGAUUUUCAAACAUCUCCAAAUGAAGAAACUUCAAAAUCGAUGGAAACAUCUCGGCGAAGAUUUUCUCCGUUGUCAAAUAAUAAAUCCAUGUUAUCAUCGUACCUUGUUCCAAACCAAAAACAAGAAGCAUAAAUGUUAGCGUUACAAUAAAGGUGACGGCUUUUGUCCAUUCAAAAACUAUUUUGGUAGCAGACAUAGCUAAAUGUUUAAUCUUGGACCUUUCCGUGAGAGUCACAUAAG